Molecule: non-coding RNA, 208 nt
Organism: Paramuricea clavata
Lineage: Eukaryota; Metazoa; Cnidaria; Anthozoa; Malacalcyonacea; Plexauridae
Source: the annotation of a GenBank genome assembly
GCCAUUUAUUAAUUAAGGUAGCAGUUUAUUACAUUUUGUUUGUUACUGUAGUUACUGAGUUCAGGUGAUUUAUUAUUUUAGUCUCUGACUCUCUGUAAAACCAACCUCACCUUUACCGCAGAUUUUAUCAGUAUAAUACAUAUUAUGCCCUUCAACAGACAAGCCACUCCCCAAGAGUACUACAUGCAUUUUGAUCACAUGUUGUGAC